GAGAACAAAAAAAAGCGGAAAAACUUUCAUCUAAUGAAGAAUACUUCCACAAAGUGAUUACUAAGUUUAAUUGCAAUAUUCUUAUGCAAUUCAAGUGUAAUUAUAUUAGCUAAAUGGUGAUACACAACCGUUAAAAGGAAGAUCAAAUUUCUCAACGAACACAUUUGUCCGUGGUGGAUGUCAGAAACGGAAGGGGCAUUGCGGUAUCAUGCAAUGUGUGAAAAAGUUAUCAAAGGAUAUCACGAUACGAAUCAUUGCGGAUGUGUGGACAUUUUGUGGUCAGUUGAAGCGGCAGAAGACGAGCGACAAUUGAGGGGAUACAGAUACUGAAAACCUACUCCAAAAUGCACCCUACUACACCUAAUUCGAAUCCAAGGAACAUUUUCAACGUAGAAACAGAAUCUAAUCACCGUUAGGAGGCAAGAUCGGUCAGGAUCCCGUAAUCAACUAACGAAAUUUGCUCAGAUGAUGACGUUCCCAAUGAGGUGAGCAUUGACAGUAUUUUGCAACCAGUUAUCCCGAUUCGAUGCUCUGAAGAACAUAAAAGGAGCAAAUUCAGUAUCUGAAAGAAAUUAGUCGGCUCUUGUUGGAAAAUCUUUACUUGAUGCCAAUUCGGGUAGCCACUAUUACUCCAAGGUCCCGGCCAUGAAAAAAAAUAUUACUUCCACACUACCAGCGGUUCAAAUAGAGUAAGUCGAUUGCGUCGAUCAUUUCACUCAUUGGAUACGGACGAGUGGCUGCAGCAACAGGUUCUUUUGCUCAACAGAUGGGAUUAUUUGGUAAAGGAGUUGAUUGCAAAGCUAACCUUUGUCGCCAGCCAAUAAGUCACAAAACAACCGCAAAAGGUGCCAACGACAAAGAAAAAACAAAAUACAGCAGAAAACUUCAAUAGCUAUAGAAGUCCGUCAUUUGCCAAUGCCGGAUCUGAUCCCUAUGCAAGUACUUGGCAUUGAUCCACGACUGAUUGGUGCAGCCAUAGUUACACCAAAAGCAGUGACAUUCACAGCAUAAACCGCCACAGUUACAACCAAAGCUUUUGGACAGGGAUUAGCCUGAUCUCUACUAUAGUUAGGCCUUCUCUUCGAGUAGACAUAGGUUUAGCACUUUGAGGUUCGUAAGUUUGAAUUAUGAAUGUAGUUUGCAAAAAGAUGGGCUUUUGAGCAUAACAAACCAAAUAUUGAUGUACGCAACAGAUUUGAUAAAUGUUUGCGAUUUUGUUGGUUUUGAUUGGACGUUCUUUUCAUCAUUGAACUCAAUUUGAGCUGGUUGGUACCAACCCAAACAUUUCGGUUGCAAGUUUAUAUUUUUCUUCUGUAUAGCUUUAAUGAUGUUUUGCAGCCAGGUUAUAUCCCAAUCUGUGUAGUUGUAAAAGCUAGUUUAGUAGAGAUGUACAUUAUAUAGAAUUAUCUCACCAGAUGAUUAUACUGUAAUAUAUUCCAUCGAACGUUAUUUUAA
This is a long non-coding RNA of Topomyia yanbarensis, 1455 nucleotides long. RefSeq lists it as uncharacterized. The record is from RefSeq and is a predicted model, not a curated record. Lineage: Eukaryota; Metazoa; Arthropoda; Insecta; Diptera; Culicidae. The transcript has 4 exons.